AUCAACGCUGGCGGCGUGCCUAACACAUGCAAGUCGAACGGGAAAGGGGCAACCCCGAGUACAGUGGCGGACGGGUGAGUAACACGUGAACAACCUGCCCUCGAGUGGGGAAUAACCUCGCGAAAGCGGGGCUAAUACCGCAUAACGUCCCUGGAACGCAUGCUUCGGGGAUCAAAGGCGAAAGUCGCUUGAGGAGGGGUUCGCGCCUGAUUAGCUAGUUGGUGAGGUAACGGCCCACCAAGGCGACGAUCAGUAGCCGGCCUGAGAGGGCGCACGGCCACACUGGAACUGAGACACGGUCCAGACUCCUACGGGAGGCAGCAGUGGGGAAUUUUGCGCAAUGGGCGAAAGCCUGACGCAGCAACGCCGCGUGGAGGAUGAAGGCCUUCGGGUCGUAAACUCCUGUCAGGGGGGACGAAACCGGGCAACCGGUUGACUGUACCCCCGGAGGAAGCCACGGCUAACUCCGUGCCAGCAGCCGCGGUAAUACGGAGGUGGCAAGCGUUGUUCGGAAUUACUGGGCGUAAAGGGCGCGUAGGCGGCUUGGCAAGUCAGAUGUGAAAGCCCCGGGCUCAACUCGG
RNAcentral lists this ribosomal RNA (581 nucleotides) under uncultured Acidobacteriota bacterium. RNAcentral describes it as "bacterial SSU rRNA". It matches the Rfam family "Bacterial small subunit ribosomal RNA", at positions 29 to 617 of the family's 1533-position model. Lineage: Bacteria; Pseudomonadati; Acidobacteriota. The record is from RNAcentral.